This 403-nucleotide ribosomal RNA is filed under the name uncultured bacterium. RNAcentral's name for it is "partial 16S ribosomal RNA". It matches the Rfam family "Bacterial small subunit ribosomal RNA", at positions 30 to 526 of the family's 1533-position model. The record is from RNAcentral.
AUUGAACGCUGGCGGCAGGCCUAACACAUGCAAGUCGAGCGAGCGGCGGAUGGGUGAGUAAUGUAUGGGGACUGCCCGUUAGAGGGGGAUAACUACUGGAAACGGUAGUUCAUACCGCAUACUAUCGGAUAAUUCAUAUGGGAUUAGCUAGUGGGUGAGGUAAUGGCUCACCAAGGCGACGAUCCCUAGCCGGUCUGAGAGGAUGAUCAGCCACACUGUGACUGAGAAAUGGCCCAGACUCCUACGGAGGCGGCAGGGGGGAAUAUUGCACAAUGGGCGCAAGCCUGAUGCAGCCAUGCCGCGGGUAUGAAGAAGGCCCUGGGGUUGUAAAGUACUUUCAGUCGGGAGGCGUUACCGACAGAAGAAGCACCGGCUAACUCCGUGCCAGCAGCCGCGGUAAUAC